RNAcentral lists this ribosomal RNA (466 nucleotides) under uncultured bacterium. RNAcentral's name for it is "partial 16S ribosomal RNA". It matches the Rfam family "Bacterial small subunit ribosomal RNA", at positions 28 to 507 of the family's 1533-position model. The record is from RNAcentral.
GAUGAACGCUGGCGGCGUGCUUAACACAUGCAAGUCGAACGAUGAAGCCCAGCUUGCUGGGUGGAUUAGUGGCGAACGGGUGAGUAACACGUGAGUAACCUGCCCUUAACUCUGGGAUAAGCCUGGGAAACUGGGUCUAAUACCGGAUAGGAGCGCCUACCGCAUGGUGGGUGUUGGAAAGAUUUAUCGGUUUUGGAUGGACUCGCGGCCUAUCAGCUUGUUGGUGAGGUAAUGGCUCACCAAGGCGACGACGGGUAGCCGGCCUGAGAGGGUGACCGGCCACAAUGGGACUGAGAGACGGCGCAGACUCCUACGGGAGGCAGCAGUGGGGAAUAUUGCACAAUGGGCGAAAGCCUGAUGCAGCGACGCCGCGUGAGGGAUGACGGCCUUCGGGUUGUAAACCUCUUUCAGUAGGGAAGAAGCGAAAGUGACGGUACCUGAAGAAGAAGCACCGGCUAACUACGUG